Molecule: unclassified non-coding RNA, 346 nt
Filed under: soil metagenome
Description: partial contains 5.8S ribosomal RNA, internal transcribed spacer 2, and large subunit ribosomal RNA
Rfam family: 5.8S ribosomal RNA (bases 1-119)
Source: RNAcentral
GAUGAAAACGUAGCGAAAUGCGAUAAGUAAUGUGAAUUGCAGAAUUCAGUGAAUCAUCGAGUCUUUGAACGCACAUUGCGCCCCCUGGUAUUCCGGGGGGCAUGCCUGUCCGAGCGUCAUUGCCGCCCUCAAGCACGGCUUGUGUGUUGGCCCCCGCCCCCCGGCUUCGGGGGGCGGGCCCGAAAGGCAGCGGCGGCACCGCGUCCGGUCCUCGAGCGUAUGGGGCUUCGUCACCCGCUCUGUAGGCCCGGCCGGCGCCCGCCGGCGACCCCAAUCAAUCUUUCCAGGUUGACCUCGGAUCAGGUAGGGAUACCCGCUGAACUUAAGCAUAUCAAUAAGCGGAGGA